Molecule: ribosomal RNA, 413 nt
Filed under: uncultured eukaryote
Lineage: Eukaryota
Description: SSU rRNA
Rfam family: Eukaryotic small subunit ribosomal RNA
Source: RNAcentral
CAAUAGCGUAUAUUAAAGUUGUUGCGGUUAAAAAGCUCGUAGUUGGAUUUCUGUUGAGGAUGGGCGGUCCGCACAUCGUGCGUGUAUCUGUUACAGCCUCGGCAUCCUCUUGAAGAACGAACUGUGAUUUAUUUCGUGGUUCGGAAUUCAAGACUUUUACUUUGAGGAAAUUAGAGUGUUCACGGCAAGCAAUCGCUUUGAAUACAUUAGCAUGGAAUAAUAAUAUAGGACCUUGGUACUAUUUUGUUGGUUUCUAGAACUAAGGUAAUAGAUUAAUUAGGGAGUAAUUAGGGGGCGGAUUCGUUAUUAACGCGUCAGAGGUGGAAUUCUUGGAUUGCGUUACGACGAACUACUGCGAAAGCAUUUGCCAAGGAUGUUUUCAUUGAUCAAGAACGAAAGUAUGGGAGUCGAAG